This 252-nucleotide ribosomal RNA is filed under the name uncultured Anoxybacillus sp. RNAcentral describes it as "partial 16S ribosomal RNA". It matches the Rfam family "Bacterial small subunit ribosomal RNA", at positions 1131 to 1382 of the family's 1533-position model. Lineage: Bacteria; Bacillati; Bacillota; Bacilli; Caryophanales; Anoxybacillaceae. The record is from RNAcentral.
UUGGGCACUCUAAGGUGACUGCCGGCUAAAAGUCGGAGGAAGGUGGGGAUGACGUCAAAUCAUCAUGCCCCUUAUGACCUGGGCUACACACGUGCUACAAUGGGCGGUACAAAGGGUCGCGAACCCGCGAGGGGGAGCCAAUCCCAAAAAGCCGCUCUCAGUUCGGAUUGCAGGCUGCAACUCGCCUGCAUGAAGCCGGAAUCGCUAGUAAUCGCGGAUCAGCAUGCCGCGGUGAAUACGUUCCCGGGCCUU